GAGAUUCCCCCAGUAGCGGCGAGCGAACGGGGAGGAGCCCAGAGCCUGAAUCAGCAUGUGUGUUAGUGGAAGCGUCUGGAAAGGCGCGCGAUACAGGGUGACAGCCCCGUACACAAAAGCGCAUGUGUUGUGAGCUCGAUGAGUAGGGCGGGACACGUGGUAUCCUGUCUGAAUAUGGGGGGACCAUCCUCCAAGGCUAAAUACUCCUGACUGACCGAUAGUGAACCAGUACCGUGAGGGAAAGGCGAAAAGAACCCCGGCGAGGGGAGUGAAAAAGAACCUGAAACCGUGUACGUACAAGCAGUGGGAGCACAGGUUUACCUGUGUGACUGCGUACCUUUUGUAUAAUGGGUCAGCGACUUAUAUUCUGUAGCAAGGUUAACCGUAUAGGGGAGCCGCAGGGAAACCGAGUCUUAAUUGGGCGUUAAGUUGCAGGGUAUAGACCCGAAACCCGGUGAUCUAGCCAUGGGCAGGUUGAAGGUUGGGUAACACUAACUGGAGGACCGAACCGACUAAUGUUGAAAAAUUAGCGGAUGACCUGUGGCUGGGGGUGAAAGGCCAAUCAAACCGGGAGAUAGCUGGUUCUCCCCGAAAGCUAUUUAGGUAGCGCCUCGUGAAUUCAUCUCCGGGGGUAGAGCACUGUUUCGGCUAGGGGGCCAUCCCGGCUUACCAACCCGAUGCAAACUGCGAAUACCGGAGAAUGUUAUCACGGGAGACACACGGCGGGUGCUAACGUCCGUCGUGAAGAGGGAAACAACCCAGACCGCCAGCUAAGGUCCCAAAGUCAUGGUUAAGUGGGAAACGAUGUGGGAAGGCCCAGACAGCCAGGAUGUUGGCUUAGAAGCAGCCAUCAUUUAAAGAAAGCGUAAUAGCUCACUGGUCGAGUCGGCCUGCGCGGAAGAUGUAACGGGGCUAAACCAUGCACCGAAGCUGCGGCAGCGA
Molecule: ribosomal RNA, 942 nt
Filed under: Salmonella enterica subsp. enterica
Lineage: Bacteria; Pseudomonadati; Pseudomonadota; Gammaproteobacteria; Enterobacterales; Enterobacteriaceae
Description: partial 23S ribosomal RNA
Rfam family: Bacterial large subunit ribosomal RNA
Source: RNAcentral